UCCCCGGUGGCUCAGCUGGUAAAGAGUCUGCCUGCAAUGCAGGAGACCUGGGUUCGAUCCCUGGGUUGGGAA
This 72-nucleotide transfer RNA is filed under the name Bos taurus (domestic cattle). It matches the Rfam family "tRNA". From Rfam's summary of the family: Transfer RNA (tRNA) molecules are approximately 80 nucleotides in length. Their secondary structure includes four short double-helical elements and three loops (D, anti-codon, and T loops). Further hydrogen bonds mediate the characteristic L-shaped molecular structure. tRNAs have two regions of fundamental functional importance: the anti-codon, which is responsible for specific mRNA codon recognition, and the 3' end, to which the tRNAs corresponding amino acid is attached (by aminoacyl-tRNA synthetases). tRNAs cope with the degeneracy of the genetic code in two manners: having more than one tRNA (with a specific anti-codon) for a particular amino acid; and 'wobble' base-pairing, i.e. permitting non-standard base-pairing at the 3rd anti-codon position. The record is from Rfam by way of RNAcentral. Lineage: Eukaryota; Metazoa; Chordata; Mammalia; Artiodactyla; Bovidae. RNAcentral also lists the same sequence under 4 other names.